Molecule: ribosomal RNA, 829 nt
Filed under: uncultured archaeon
Lineage: Archaea
Description: bacterial SSU rRNA
Rfam family: Archaeal small subunit ribosomal RNA
Source: RNAcentral
ACAGCUCAGUAACACGUGGCUAACCUGCCCUUGGGACAAGGACAACUCCGGGAAACUGGGGCUAAUCCCUGAUAGGUGAGAACUCCUGGAAUGGAUUCUCGCUGAAAGGACGUUUAGACCAUGCUUCUAGGCGUCGCCCAAGGAGGGGGCCGCGACCGAUCAGGUUGUUGGUGAGGUAACGGCUCACCAAGCCUUUAACCGGUACGGGCCGUGAGAGCGGAAGCCCGGAGAUGGGCACUGAGACAAGGGCCCAGGCCCUACGGGGCGCAGCAGGCGCGAAAACUCCGCAAUACACGAAAGUGUGACGGGGCCAUCCCGAGUGCCAUCCGCUGAGGAUGGCUUUUCCCCAGUGUAUAAAGCUGGGGGAAUAAGGAGAGGGCAAGCCUGGUGCCAGCAGCCGCGGUAAUACCAGCUCUCCGAGUGGUGGGGAUGUUUAUUGGGCCUAAAGCAUUCGUAGCCUGCUUGGCAAGUCCUCCGUUAAAUCCAACGAUUCAAUCGUUGGGCUGCGGGGGAUACUGUCCGGCUAGGGGGCGGGAGAGGCCGACGGUAUCCCCGGGGUAGGGGUGAAAUCCUAUAAAUCCCGGGAGGACCACCAGUGGCGAAGGCUGUCGGCUAGAACGCGCUCGACGGUGAGGGAUGAAAGCUGGGGGAGCGAACCGGAUUAGAUACCCGGGUAGUCCCAGCUGUAAACGAUGCAGGCUAGGUGUUGGCGCGGCUACGUGCCGCUCCAGUGCCGCAGGGAAGCCGUUAAGCCUGCCGCCUGGGAAGUACGGCCGCAAGGCUGAAACUUAAAGGAAUUGGCGGGGAGCACCCACCAGGGUGAAGCUUG